This 1630-nucleotide long non-coding RNA is filed under the name Homo sapiens (human). RNAcentral's name for it is "HSALNT0248551". The record is from RNAcentral. Lineage: Eukaryota; Metazoa; Chordata; Mammalia; Primates; Hominidae.
CAUUGGAAACGGGAAUAUCUUCAUAUAAAAUCUAGACAGAGGCAUUCUCAGAAACUUCUUUGUGAUGUGUGUCCUCAACUAACGGCGGUACAUCCUGUCUUUUGAUACAGCAGUUUGGAAACACUCUUUUUGUAGAAUCUGCCAGUGGAUAUUUGCAUAGCUCUAAUGAUUUCUUUGGAAACGGGAAUACCUUCAUAUAAAAUCUAGACAGAGGCACUCUCAGAAACUGCUUUGUGAUAUCUGCAUUCAAGUCACACAGUUCAACAUUCCCUUUCUUAGAGCAGGUUUGAAACACUCUUUUUGCAGGAUCUGGAAGUGGACAUUUGGAGCGCUUUGACGCCUUUGGUGAUAAAGGAAAUGUCUUCACAUAAAAACUAGAAAGAAGCAUUCUAAGAAACAUCUUUGUGAUAUAUGUACUCAACUAACCGAGUUGAACCUUGCUCUUUAUAGAUCAGCUUUUUAAUGCUCUUUUUGUGGAAUCUGCAAGUGGAUAUUUGGAUAGCUUUCAGGAUUUCGUUGGAAACGGGAUUACAAACAAAAUGUAGACAGCAGCAUUCUCAGAAACUUCUUUGUGAUGUUUGCUUUUAAGUCACAGAGUUGAACAUUCCCUUUCGUAGAGCAGGUUUCAGACACUCUUUCUGUAGUAUCUGGAAGUGGACAUUUCGAGUGUUUUCAGGCCUAUGGUGAACAAGGAAAUAUCUUCCCAUAAAAACCAGACACAAGCAUUUGCAGAAACUUGUUUGUGAUGCGUGUCCUCAACUCACAGAAUAGAACAUUUCGUUUGACAGAGCAGCUUGGAAACACGCUUUUUGUAGAAUCUGCAAUUGGAUAUUUGGAUAGCUUUGUGGAUUUCUUUGGAAACGGGAGUAUCUUCAUAUAAAACCUAGACGGAAACAUUCUCAGAAACUCCUUUGUAAUGUCUGCAUUCACGUCACAGAUUUGAACAUUCCCUUUCAUAGAGCAGGUUUGAAACACUCUUUCCGAAGUAUCUGGAUGUGGACACUUGGAGCGCUUUGACGCUUACGGUGAAAAGGAAAUAACUUCCCAUGAAAACUAGACAGAAGCAUUCUCACAAACUGGUGUGUGAUGUAUGUCCUCAGCUAACAGAGUUAAACCUUUCUAUUUACAGAGCAGUUUUCAAAGACUCUUUUUGGAGAAUCUGCAAGUGGAUAUCUGGAGAUCUUUAAGGAUUUCAUUGGAAACCGGAAUAUCUUCAGGUAAAAUCUAGACAGAGGCAUUCUCAGAAACUUCUUCGUGAUGUGCGUCCUCAACUAACAGAGUACAACCUGUCUUUUGAUACAUCAGUUUGGAAACACUCUUUUUGUAGAAUCUGGAAGUGGAUAUUUCGAUAGCUCUAACGAUUUUGUUGAAAACGGGAAUAGCUUCAUAUAAAAUCUAGGCAGAGGCACUCUCAGAAACUAAUUUUGUGAGAUCUGCAUUCAAGUCACAGAGUUGAACAUUCCCUUUCUUAGAGCAGGUUUGAGACACUUUGUAGUAUCUGGAAGUGGACAUUUUUAGCGCUUUGACGCCUUUGGUGAAAAAGGAAAUGUUUUCCCAUAAAAACUAGACAGAAGCAUUCUAAGAAACUUCUUUGGGAUAUAUGUACUCAACUAACAGAGUUGAACCUUUC